This 466-nucleotide ribosomal RNA is filed under the name uncultured bacterium. RNAcentral describes it as "bacterial SSU rRNA". It matches the Rfam family "Bacterial small subunit ribosomal RNA", at positions 8 to 518 of the family's 1533-position model. The record is from RNAcentral.
AGGGUUCGAUUCUGGCUCAGAACGAACGCUGGCGGCAGGCCUAACACAUGCAAGUCGAGCGCGCCCUUCGGGGUGAGCGGCGGACGGGUUAGUAACGCGUGGGAACGUACCCUUUGGUAGGGAAUAGCCACUGGAAACGGUGAGUAAUACCCUAUGAGCCCUUCGGGGGAAAGAUUUAUCGCCAAAAGGAUCGGCCCGCGUUAGAUUAGGUAGUUGGUGGGGUAAUGGCCUACCAAGCCUACGAUCUAUAGCUGGUUUUAGAGGAUGAUCAGCAACACUGGGACUGAGACACGGCCCAGACUCCUACGGGAGGCAGCAGUGGGGAAUCUUGGACAAUGGGGGCAACCCUGAAUCCAGCCAUGCCGCGUGAGUGAAGAAGGCCUUAGGGUCGUAAAGCUCUUUCGCCUGUGAAGAUAAUGACGGUAGCAGGUAAAGAAACCCCGGCUAACUCCGUGCCAGCCGCGGC